AGUAGCGGCGAGCGAACAGGGAAGAGUCCAGCACCGAACCCCGCAGGCUGCCGCCUGUCGUGGCAUGUGGUGUUUGGGAGGGUCCACCACCCCGACGCCUCGCGCCGAGUCCAAGUCCAACUUGAAUGAGGCCACGGCCCGUAGAGGGUGCCAGGCCCGUAGCGGCCGGUGCGAGCGUCGGCGGGACCUCUCCUCCGAGUCGGGUUGUUUGAGAGUGCAGCUCCAAGUGGGUGGUAAACUCCAUCUGAGACUAAAUAUGACCACGAGACCGAUAGCGAACAAGUACCGUGAGGGAAAGUUGAAAAGAACUUUGAAGAGAGAGUUCAAAAGUACGUGAAACCGUUCUGGGGUAAACGUGAGAAGUCCGAAAGGUCGAACGGGCGAGAUUCACGCCCAUCCGGCCACUGGCCCCCGCCCUCGGCAGAUGGGGCCGGCCGCCCGCGCGGAGCAAUCCGCGGCGGGGUCGUGUCCGGUUGCCUUUCCACUCGCCGCGGGGUGGGGCCGUUCCAGUGCGCGGUGGGCCGCACUUCUCCCCUAGUAGGACGUCGCGACCCGCUGGGUGCCGGCCUACGGCCCGGGUGCGCAGCCUGUCCUUCCGCGGGCCUCGGUUCGCGUCUGUGAGGGCAGAACCCCGGUGUCCCGGCUGGCUGCUCGGCGGUACAUCUGGAGGAGUCGAUUCGCCAAACAAAGUGUUUGGGCGCCCGGGCUCCCGGCAAGCGCGCGCGGUUCUUCCCGGAUGACGGACCUACCUGGCCCGGCCCCGGACCCGCGCCGCUGUUGGCUCGGGAUGCUCUCGGGCGGAAUAAUCGCUCCCGUCAGCGGCGCUUCAGCUUUGGACAAUUUCACGACCCGUCUUGAAACACGGACCAAGGAGUCUAACAUGUGCGCUAGUCAUUGGGCUGUACGAAGCCUAAAGGCGUAAUGAAAGUGAAGGUCUCGCCUUGCGCGGGCCGAGGGAGGAUGGGGCUUCCCCGCCCUUCACGGGGCGGCGGCCUCCGCACUCCCGGGGCGUCUCGUCCUCAUUGCGAGGUGAGGCGCACCUAGAGCGUACACGUU
RNAcentral lists this ribosomal RNA (1056 nucleotides) under Arminda brunneri. Its description in RNAcentral is "eukaryotic LSU rRNA". It matches the Rfam family "Eukaryotic large subunit ribosomal RNA", at positions 82 to 810 of the family's 3401-position model. The record is from RNAcentral. Lineage: Eukaryota; Metazoa; Arthropoda; Insecta; Orthoptera; Acrididae.